Molecule: ribosomal RNA, 584 nt
Filed under: Platanus x hispanica
Lineage: Eukaryota; Viridiplantae; Streptophyta; Magnoliopsida; Proteales; Platanaceae
Description: eukaryotic LSU rRNA
Rfam family: 5.8S ribosomal RNA (bases 285-440)
Source: RNAcentral
CCAGCAGAACGACCCGCGAACCUGUGACACCACGCCGAGGGGUGGAGGAGGGGUGCGAGCCCCGAUCUCCCUCCCUCUUUGGGUCGUGUGGGCUGUCGUUUUUCCGCACGUCCGUUGCCCGGGCCCUCGGCACGUGGCACGGCGCUUGGGGGGCGGCAGCAUCGCAGACCCGACCAAACAACGAACCCGGCGCGAACGGCGCCAAGGAAAUCAAAAACGGAACGGGCGUGCCUUCGCUUCACCGUCGGUGUUGCGGGGCGUCGUCGAAACUCCGAUCUCAAAACGACUCUCGGCAACGGAUAUCUCGGCUCUCGCAUCGAUGAAGAACGUAGCGAAAUGCGAUACUUGGUGUGAAUUGCAGAAUCCCGUGAACCAUCGAGUCUUUGAACGCAAGUUGCGCCCUAGGCCAUUAGGCUGAGGGCACGCCUGCCUGGGCGUCACGCAUCGUGUCGCUCCCCCCAGCCACCCCAUGGGAUGGCCGGUUUGGGAGCGGAGAUUGGCCCCCCGUGUGUCGUAUGCGCACGCGGCCGGCCUAAAAGCUGGGCCCCCGGCGGUCGACGUCACGACGAGUGGUGGUUGAUACG